Molecule: ribosomal RNA, 622 nt
Filed under: Wesmaelia lizanoi
Lineage: Eukaryota; Metazoa; Arthropoda; Insecta; Hymenoptera; Braconidae
Description: eukaryotic LSU rRNA
Rfam family: Eukaryotic large subunit ribosomal RNA
Source: RNAcentral
CCUGAGAAACCCAAAAGAUCGAAUGAGGAGAUUCAUCGUCAGCAUAUUUGGUAUAUGUGCGAGUUGUGAUGCAUAUUAUCUAUAUGAUAUAUUGUACAUACUUGUAUUAUUUUAUCGCUAAAUUUUGUAGGCGUGCACUUCUCCUCUAGUAGGACGUCGCGACCCGUUGGGUGUCGGUUUAUGGCCUAGAUGGUAGUCUUCAAUUGCAUGAAUUGAAGUCCUCUAGUUGACCUGAUCGACUGCUUAGCGGUAUUCGCAUGGUAAUGAGUCGCAAUAUUGAAUAUAUGCGUCGAGCCCAUUGCAAGCGAGGCCAGAAAUAUAACACUCGGUAGUGCGGAUCUAAUGCCGUCAUUGAGGCUGGCCAGCUGAUGGUUGAUGGUGUCCUUUGACUGACUCAAAUAAUUACCGGUCAGCGACGCUACUGCUUUGGGUACUUUCAGGACCCGUCUUGAAACACGGACCAAGGAGUCUAACAUGUGCGCGAGUCAUUGGGAUAAUUUUUAUGAAAACCUAAAGGCGCAAUGAAAGUAAAGGUCGUCCUUGUGUCGACCGAGGGAGGAUGAGUGGCAUUACGGUGUCUACUCCGCACUCCCGGGGCGUCUCAUUCUCAAUUUUGAGAAGA